Molecule: ribosomal RNA, 492 nt
Filed under: uncultured bacterium
Lineage: Bacteria
Description: partial 16S ribosomal RNA
Rfam family: Bacterial small subunit ribosomal RNA
Source: RNAcentral
AGUGAACGCUGGCGGUAUGCCUAACACAUGCAAGUCGAACGGCAGCACAGUAAGAGCUUGCUCUUACGGGUGGCGAGUGGCGGACGGGUGAGGAAUACAUCGGAAUCUACUUUUUCGUGGGGGAUAACGUAGGGAAACUUACGCUAAUACCUCAUACGACCUACGGGUGAAAGCAGGGGAUCUUCGGACCUUGCGCGACUGAAUGAGCCGAUGUCGGAUUAGCUAGUUGGCGGGGUAAAGGCCCACCAAGGCGACGAUCCGUAGCUGGUCUGAGAGGAUGAUCAGCCACACUGGAACUGAGACACGGUCCAGACUCCUACGGGAGGCAGCAGUGGGGAAUAUUGGACAAUGGGCGCAAGCCUGAUCCAGCCAUACCGCGUGGGUGAAGAAGGCCUUCGGGUUGUAAAGCCCUUUUGUUGGGAAAGAAAAGCAGCAGGUUAAUACCCCGCUGUUCUGACGGUACCCAAAGAAUAAGCACCGGCUAACUUCGUG